This 227-nucleotide long non-coding RNA is filed under the name Capsicum annuum. Its description in RNAcentral is "long non-coding RNA (CANN_LNC002305)". Lineage: Eukaryota; Viridiplantae; Streptophyta; Magnoliopsida; Solanales; Solanaceae. The record is from RNAcentral.
GGUGACGAAUAAUUAUUUGGUGUCGAUUCAUUGUUGGUUCCAUUGUUUAUGCGAUGAAACGAUAUUCUGUUUGAGAUUUGGAAUAGGUAAUUCAAGAAUGAAAUGGGGGUGAGAAUUGAAAACUUGAUAUAAUUGAUGAAUUUUGGUUAAUUUGAUUCAUGGGUUGUUUGAAUUGAAAUGAACGUUAAUUGAACUUGGUAGUAUCAUGAUACGUCGAUUGGUUUAGG